UCGAGCGAACAGACGAGGAGCUUGCUCCUCUGACGUUAGCGGCGGACGGGUGAGUAACACGUGGAUAACCUACCUAUAAGACUGGGAUAACUUCGGGAAACCGGAGCUAAUACCGGAUAAUAUAUUGAACCGCAUGGUUCAAUAGUGAAAGACGGUUUUGCUGUCACUUAUAGAUGGAUCCGCGCCGCAUUAGCUAGUUGGUAAGGUAACGGCUUACCAAGGCAACGAUGCGUAGCCGACCUGAGAGGGUGAUCGGCCACACUGGAACUGAGACACGGUCCAGACUCCUACGGGAGGCAGCAGUAGGGAAUCUUCCGCAAUGGGCGAAAGCCUGACGGAGCAACGCCGCGUGAGUGAUGAAGGUCUUCGGAUCGUAAAACUCUGUUAUUAGGGAAGAACAAAUGUGUAAGUAACUAUGCACAUCUUGACGGUACCUAAUCAGAAAGCCACGGCUAACUACGUGCCAGCAGCCGCGGUAAUACGUAGGUGGCAAGCGUUAUCCGGAAUUAUUGGGCGUAAAGCGCGCGUAGGCGGUUUUUUAAGUCUGAUGUGAAAGCCCACGGCUCAACCGUGGAGGGUCAUUGGAAACUGGAAAACUUGAGUGCAGAAGAGGAAAGUGGAAUUCCAUGUGUAGCGGUGAAAUGCGCAAAGAUAUGGAGGAACACCAGUGGCGAAGGCGACUUUCUGGUCUGUAACUGACGCUGAUGUGCGAAAGCGUGGGGAUCAAACAGGA
RNAcentral lists this ribosomal RNA (733 nucleotides) under uncultured Staphylococcus sp. Its description in RNAcentral is "bacterial SSU rRNA". It matches the Rfam family "Bacterial small subunit ribosomal RNA", at positions 62 to 777 of the family's 1533-position model. The record is from RNAcentral. Lineage: Bacteria; Bacillati; Bacillota; Bacilli; Caryophanales; Staphylococcaceae.